AGAGGGUGCGAGCGUUAAUCGGAAUUACUGGGCGUAAAGCGCACGUAGGCGGCUUGGUAUGUCGGGUGUGAAAUCCCCGGGCUCAACCUGGGAACUGCAUCCGAAACUGCCUUGCUCGAGUAUGGGAGAGGGAAGUGGAAUUUCCGGUGUAGCGGUGAAAUGCGUAGAUAUCGGAAGGAACAUCAGUGGCGAAGGCGACUUCCUGGACCAAUACUGACGCUCAGGUGCGAAAGCGUGGGGAGCAAACAGGAUUAGAUACCCUGGUAGUCCACGCCCUAAACGAUGAGAACUGGAUGUCGGGAGGGUCUGCCUUCCGGUGUCGUAGCUAACGCGUUAAGUUCUCCGCCUGGGAAGUACGGCCGCAAGGUUGAA
This 372-nucleotide ribosomal RNA is filed under the name uncultured bacterium. RNAcentral describes it as "bacterial SSU rRNA". It matches the Rfam family "Bacterial small subunit ribosomal RNA", at positions 527 to 898 of the family's 1533-position model. The record is from RNAcentral.